RNAcentral lists this ribosomal RNA (461 nucleotides) under uncultured bacterium. Its description in RNAcentral is "SSU rRNA". It matches the Rfam family "Bacterial small subunit ribosomal RNA", at positions 26 to 518 of the family's 1533-position model. The record is from RNAcentral.
AGAAUCAACGCUGGCGGCGUGCCUAACACAUGCAAGUCGAACGAGAAAGUGGUAGCAAUACCAUGAGUAAAGUGGCGCACGGGUGAGUAACACGUGACUAACCUACCCUGGAGUGGGGGAUAACUGAGGGAAACCUUAGCUAAUACCGCAUAACACCUACGGGUCAAAGGAGCAAUUCGCUUCAGGAGGGGGUCGCGGCAGAUUAGCUAGUUGGCGGGGUAAUGGCCCACCAAGGCAGUGAUCUGUAUCCGGCCUGAGAGGGCGCACGGACACACUGGAACUGAAACACGGUCCAGACUCCUACGGGAGGCAGCAGUGGGGAAUUUUGCGCAAUGGGGGAAACCCUGACGCAGCAACGCCGCGUGGAGGAUGAAGUCCCUCGGGACGUAAACUCCUUUCGAUCGGGACGAUAAUGACGGUACCGAGAGAAGAAGCCCGGCUAACUUCGCGCCAGCAGCCGC